Molecule: small RNA, 130 nt
Filed under: Carboxydothermus hydrogenoformans
Lineage: Bacteria; Bacillati; Bacillota; Clostridia; Thermoanaerobacterales; Thermoanaerobacteraceae
Also listed under: 1 other name
Description: c-di-AMP sequence
Rfam family: c-di-AMP riboswitch aptamer (ydaO/yuaA leader)
About the family: This family represents a conserved RNA structure found upstream of the ydaO and yuaA genes in Bacillus subtilis and related genes in other bacteria. The ydaO/yuaA element is thought to act as a genetic "off" switch for the ydaO and yuaA genes in its native state.
Source: RNAcentral
AUUAACCAAACGCUGAAUUCCCGUUACGGGAAGCGGGGGAACCACUUUUUGGGGUGAAUCCUUUUCAGGUAGGGCGACUCCUUCCGCCCGAACCCGUCAGCUAACCUCGUAAGCGUCGAAGGGGGAGCAA